RNAcentral lists this long non-coding RNA (1063 nucleotides) under Pan paniscus (pygmy chimpanzee). RNAcentral's name for it is "lncRNA (ENSPPAG00000044849.1)". Lineage: Eukaryota; Metazoa; Chordata; Mammalia; Primates; Hominidae. The record is from RNAcentral.
GUUCUAUGUACUUAUAAUUUUGAUAGAUAUUGCUAAUUUCCCUCAAUUGAAGUUGCACCAUUUUACAGCUAGAAAUUCUGGAGAAUGUCAGUGUAUCCUAAGGAGCAUGGCAGAAAACAGAUGCAUUAAUUGGGUAAUAUGAAGAAGACUAAGUAAAGGAAUUAUUUACAAAGUAUGGGCAGGAUACAGAAACCCCAGGGCUUUCCGUGGAAUAUAUAUUGAGGUGGGGGUGAGGGGCUGAGGUUACCGCUAUGGGACCUGAGGGUGCAAGAGGAGGAAACACUCACUGAAGCCUGAAGGCAGAGAGGGUUGUGUUCAGAGGGCCACCUGAAAGGGGCUGUGAAUUGGUGACAUGGAGGCAGCCAGCCAGAAGCAAAUCCUCAGAAAGGAAGCCUAGGGAGUAAAUAAUUUCGACCACACUCUCCUUCCUCCUUCUGAUGCCUUGCUGAUACCAUCCAUUGCCCAAACUUGACAGAUGGCCAGAGAUUAAACCAGACCCUUAAUGUAAUCCCCACAGGUCAGCCGCCUGAAGUACAGAGCAGGGUAGAGAAAUGGGACUAGAAGUACAAGCAGGACAUCUCCAGCUCAGUUGACCUCUUCAUACCAUCACUGACACCCUGGUCUACACUAUUAUUUAUACUAUGUAUCUGAGAGUGCCUCCAAAUUCCUGUUGCUUAGCACAUGAUCUUCCCUUCUGAAGAAAACCUUCUUUCUUCUCUCUGGAGGACAGAUAUCGAUGUUGCAGGUCACCUUCUGAAAAGCCAUCUCUUGAUCCCUCUCAGGUUUCUAGAUGAAGCUGGAGGCAAGAGACCUGGAGAGACAUCUAGGAGAUGUGGUUAGAUGGGACCAGAUAUCACAUUUGCCUUUCCUCAUCGUCUUUCCUCCCUAAACUUAUGAUUCAGGGAAACAUAUACUGUCAUAACUAUUCCACGAUGCUGGAAAAAUUACAACACCCCUAAAUAUUAAAAUACAUUUGGUUCUGUUGCCUUGGGAGUAAUAGAACAUAAAGGAACCACCCUUGGACAACAAAAAAUUAAUUGAAAUCAUUUCUUUUCAUGUUUCA